AGAUGCGGGGUCCUUCGGGGGCGGUCACAGGUGGUGCAUGGCUGUCGUCAGCUCGUGUCGUGAGAUGUUGGGUUAAGUCCCGCAACGAGCGCAACCCUCGUUCGAUGUUGCCAGCGGGUUAUGCCGGGGACUCAUCGAAGACUGCCGGGGUCAACUCGGAGGAAGGUGGGGAUGAGGUCAAGUCAUCAUGCCCCUUAUGUCCAGGGCUUCACGCAUGCUACAAUGGCCGGUACAAAGGGCUGCGAUGCCGUAAGGUGGAGCGAAUCCCAAAAAGCCGGUCUCAGUUCGGAUCGGGGUCUGCAACUCGACCCCGUGAAGUUGGAGUCGCUAGUAAUCGCAGAUCAGCAACGCUGCGGUGAAUACGUUCCCGGGCCUUGUACACACCGCCCGUCGCGUCACGAAAGUCGGCAACACCCGAAGCCCAUGGCCUAACCAGCUUGCUGGAGGGAGUGGUCGAAGGUGGGGCUGGCGAUUGGGACGAAGUCGUAACAAGGUAACCGUAA
RNAcentral lists this ribosomal RNA (503 nucleotides) under uncultured Actinomycetes bacterium. RNAcentral describes it as "bacterial SSU rRNA". It matches the Rfam family "Bacterial small subunit ribosomal RNA", at positions 1004 to 1505 of the family's 1533-position model. The record is from RNAcentral. Lineage: Bacteria; Bacillati; Actinomycetota; Actinomycetes.